Non-coding RNA from Pteropus alecto (black flying fox), 74 nucleotides. The record is from Rfam. Lineage: Eukaryota; Metazoa; Chordata; Mammalia; Chiroptera; Pteropodidae.
GGCUCCAUAGUGUAGUGGUUAGCACGUCUGCUUUGCAUGCAGAAGCUCCUGGGUUCACGCCCCAAGUGGAGCCA